RNAcentral lists this ribosomal RNA (333 nucleotides) under uncultured eukaryote. RNAcentral describes it as "partial 18S ribosomal RNA". It matches the Rfam family "Eukaryotic small subunit ribosomal RNA", at positions 1470 to 1796 of the family's 1831-position model. The record is from RNAcentral.
CCCUUAGAUGUUCUGGGCUGCACACGUGCUACACUGGCAGGUUCAGCGAGCUUCAUGCCCUGAUCUGAAAGGAAUGGGAAAUCUUUUCAAAACCUGCCGUGCUUGGGAUAGAUGUUUGCAAUUAUUCAUCUUCAACGAGGAUUGCCUUGUAAGCGCACGUCAUCAGCGUGCAUUGAAUACGACCCUGUAUUCUGUACACACCGCCCGUCGCUACUACCGAUUGAAUGGUUUAGUGAGAUCUCCGGAUUGGCUUCCUUGGUACCUUCGCGGGUCCAACGUGAAGCCGAGAAGCUGCUCAAACUUGAUCAUUUAGAGGAAGUAAAAGUCGUAACA